UACGGAGGGUGCAAGCGUUGUUCGGAAUUACUGGGCGUAAAGGGCGCGUAGGCGGCACGGCAAGUCGGGAGUGAAAGGCCUGGGCUCAACCGAGGAACUGCUUUCGAGACUGCCGAGCUAGAGUGCGGAAGGGGCAACUGGAAUUCCCAGUGUAGCGGUGAAAUGCGUAGAUAUUGGGAAGAACACCGGAGGCGAAGGCGGGUUGCUGGGCCGACACUGACGCUGAGGCGCGAAAGCCAGGGGAGCAAACGGG
RNAcentral lists this ribosomal RNA (253 nucleotides) under uncultured bacterium. Its description in RNAcentral is "partial 16S ribosomal RNA". It matches the Rfam family "Bacterial small subunit ribosomal RNA", at positions 524 to 776 of the family's 1533-position model. The record is from RNAcentral.